RNAcentral lists this non-coding RNA (28 nucleotides) under Cricetulus griseus (Chinese hamster). Lineage: Eukaryota; Metazoa; Chordata; Mammalia; Rodentia; Cricetidae. The record is from RNAcentral.
CUUUCUUCAGUGUCUUGGACGGUUUGGC